CCAACCUGCCGAUUAUUCCGGGAUAGCCUUUCGAAAGAAAGAUUAAUACUGGAUAGCAUAACGAGAAGGCAUCUUCUUGUUAUUAAAGAAUUUCGAUAAUCGAUGGGGAUGCGUUCCAUUAGUUUGUUGGCGGGGUAACGGCCCACCAAGACAUCGAUGGAUAGGGGUUCUGAGAGGAAGGUCC
Molecule: ribosomal RNA, 184 nt
Filed under: uncultured Bacteroidota bacterium
Lineage: Bacteria; Pseudomonadati; Bacteroidota
Description: uncultured Bacteroidetes bacterium partial 16S ribosomal RNA
Rfam family: Bacterial small subunit ribosomal RNA
Source: RNAcentral